RNAcentral lists this small nucleolar RNA (87 nucleotides) under Cyphellophora europaea CBS 101466. RNAcentral describes it as "A. fimigatus snoRNA Afu_298". It matches the Rfam family "A. fimigatus snoRNA Afu_298". Lineage: Eukaryota; Fungi; Ascomycota; Eurotiomycetes; Chaetothyriales; Cyphellophoraceae. The record is from Rfam by way of RNAcentral.
CUGGAUGAUGAUCAUUUUUAACGCGGAGAUCUCUUCGAUGAAGAUCAAAAACUACGCAACAACUUACACUCUAAUUUUUUACUGACU